Molecule: ribosomal RNA, 483 nt
Filed under: uncultured bacterium
Lineage: Bacteria
Description: partial 16S ribosomal RNA
Rfam family: Bacterial small subunit ribosomal RNA
Source: RNAcentral
AUUGAACGCUGGCGGCAGGCCUAACACAUGCAAGUCGAGCGGAUGAAGGGAGCUUGCUCCUGGAUUCAGCGGCGGACGGGUGAGUAAUGCCUAGAAAUCUGCCUGGUAGUGGGGGAUAACGUCCGGAAACGGGCGCUAAUACCGCAUACGUCCUGAGGGAGAAAGUGGGGGAUCUUCGGACCUCACGCUAUCAGAUGAGCCUAGGUCGGAUUAGCUAGUUGGUGGGGUAAAGGCCUACCAAGGCGACGAUCCGUAACUGGUCUGAGAGGAUGAUCAGUCACACUGGAACUGAGACACGGUCCAGACUCCUACGGGAGGCAGCAGUGGGGAAUAUUGGACAAUGGGCGAAAGCCUGAUCCAGCCAUGCCGCGUGUGUGAAGAAGGUCUUCGGAUUGUAAAGCACUUUAAGUUGGGAGGAAGGGCAGUAAGUUAAUACCUUGCUGUUUUGACGUUACCAACAGAAUAAGCACCGGCUAACUUCGU